RNAcentral lists this unclassified non-coding RNA (321 nucleotides) under fungal sp. Its description in RNAcentral is "partial internal transcribed spacer region". The stretch from base 1 to 46 matches the Rfam family "Eukaryotic small subunit ribosomal RNA", at positions 1786 to 1831 of the family's 1831-position model. Lineage: Eukaryota; Fungi. The record is from RNAcentral.
AAGUCGUAACAAGGUUUCCGUAGGUGAACCUGCGGAAGGAUCAUUAAUAAAGUUAACUCAUCGUUAUGGGUCUUAACUCAUAUCAACCUUUGUGUGCAUUUAAAUUGUAUCUGGCAGUUCUUAGCUAAAAGUUAAGACGAGUUAAGCGGCGAGGUUAAAGGACCGAGAUCUCAGAUCUCAGUCUUGAGAUCUCAAAGCUAAGCUUCGAUUAGCCCUUAGCUUCCUGCCAAAAGUUAAACCUUAGAUUUAUUAGUUAAAGCUAUAAGUUAAACUUAAACGUUUAAUAAAUAACAACUUUUGACAACGGAUCUCUUGGCUCUC